CGUCAGACUUCCAAGAAAAGCUCGCAAUGUCAUAAAUAAAGAAUGCCUGUACCAUAACCGACACAGGUGGGUAGGUAGAGUAUACUAAGGGGCGCGAGAUAACUCUCUCUAAGGAACUCGGCAAAAUGACUCCGUAACUUCGGGAGAAGGAGUGCCUUAUUUAUAAGGUUGCAAUAACAAGAUCCAAGCAACUGUUUAUCAAAAACACAGGUCUCCGCUAAGUCGUAAGACGAUGUAUGGGGGCUGACGCCUGCCCAGUGCCAGAAGGUUAAAGAAGUUGGUUAGUGUAUGCGAAGCUGAUGACUGAAGCCCUGGUGAACGGCGGCCGUAACUAUAACGGUCCUAAGGUAGCGAAAUUCCUUGUCGGGUAAGUUCCGACCCGCACGAAAGGCGUAAUGAUUUGGAUACUGUCUCGGAGAGAGGCUCGGCGAAAUAGACUUGUCUGUGAAGAUGCGGACUACCUGCACCAGGACAGAAAGACCCUAUGAAGCUUUACUGUAACUUGAAAUUGGAAUUGGACUUUGCUUGCGCAGUAUAGGUGGGAAGCGUUGAAGAUAUUCUUGCGGGAGUAUUGGAGCUAUCAGUGAGACACCACUCUUGUAAUGUUAGAUUUCUAACUUUGAACCAUAAUCUGGUCAAAGAACAGUUUCAGGUGGGCAGUUUGACUGGGGCGGUCGCCUCCCAAAUGGUAACGGAGGCGUACAAAGGUUUCCUCUGAACGGAUAGAAAUCGUAUCUAGAGUGUAAAGGCAUAAGGAAGCUUGACUGUGAGACCUACAAGUCGAGCAGGGACGAAAGUCGGUCUUAGUGAUCUGACGGUACUGAGUGGAAAGGCCGUCACUCAACGGAUAAAAGUUACUCUAGGGAUAACAGGCUGAUCUCCCCCAAGAGUUCACAUCGACGGGGAGGUUUGGCACCUCGAUGUCGGCUCAUCGCAUCCUGGGGCGGUAGUACGUCCCAAGGGUUGGGCUGUUCGCCCAUGAAAGCGGUACGCGAGCUGGGUUCAGAACGUCGUGAGACAGUUCGGUCCAUAUCCGGUGUAGGCGUUAGAAUAUUGAGAGGAGCCUUCUUUAGUACGAGAGGACCGAGAAGGACACACCGCUGGUGUACCAGUUAUCGUGCCAACGGUAAACGCUGGGUAGCUAUGUGUGGAGUGGAUAACCGCUGAAAGCAUCUAAGUGGGAAGCCCACCUCAAGAUGAGUAUUCUCAU
RNAcentral lists this ribosomal RNA (1210 nucleotides) under metagenome. Its description in RNAcentral is "bacterial LSU rRNA". It matches the Rfam family "Bacterial large subunit ribosomal RNA", at positions 1598 to 2817 of the family's 2925-position model. The record is from RNAcentral.